ACGACCCCCCAGAGCCGAAAACUUGGUCAAACUCGGUCAUUUAGAGGAAGUAAAAGUCGUAACAAGGUUUCCGUAGGUGAACCUGCGGAAGGAUCAUUACCGAGUGAGGGCCCUCUGGGUCCAACCUCCCACCCGUGUUUAUUUUACCUUGUUGCUUCGGCGGGCCCGCCUUAACUGGCCGCCGGGGGGCUUACGCCCCCGGGCCCGCGCCCGCCGAAGACACCCUCGAACUCUGUCUGAAGAUUGAAGUCUGAGUGAAAAUAUAAAUUAUUUAAAACUUUCAACAACGGAUCUCUUGGUUCCGGCAUCGAUGAAGAACGCAGCGAAAUGCGAUACGUAAUGUGAAUUGCAAAUUCAGUGAAUCAUCGAGUCUUUGAACGCACAUUGCGCCCCCUGGUAUUCCGGGGGGCAUGCCUGUCCGAGCGUCAUUGCUGCCCUCAAGCCCGGCUUGUGUGUUGGGCCCCGUCCCCCGAUCUCCGGGGGACGGGCCCGAAAGGCAGCGGCGGCACCGCGUCCGGUCCUCGAGCGUAUGGGGCUUUGUCACCCGCUCUGUAGGCCCGGCCGGCGCUUGCCGAUCAACCCAAAUUUUUAUCCAGGUUGACCUCGGAUCAGGUAGGGAUACCCGCUGAACUUAAGCAUAUCAAUAAGCGGAGGAAAAGAAACCAACAGGGAUUGCCCCAGUAACGGCGAGUGAAGCGGCAAGAGCUCAAAUUUGAAAGCUGGCUCCUUCGGGGUCCGCAUUGUAAUUUGCAGAGGAUGCUUCGGGAGCGGUCCCCA
RNAcentral lists this ribosomal RNA (777 nucleotides) under Penicillium sp. 12 BRO-2013. Its description in RNAcentral is "eukaryotic LSU rRNA". The stretch from base 276 to 428 matches the Rfam family "5.8S ribosomal RNA". The record is from RNAcentral. Lineage: Eukaryota; Fungi; Ascomycota; Eurotiomycetes; Eurotiales; Aspergillaceae.